Long non-coding RNA from Oreochromis aureus, 1651 nucleotides. RefSeq lists it as uncharacterized. Lineage: Eukaryota; Metazoa; Chordata; Actinopteri; Cichliformes; Cichlidae. The record is from RefSeq and is a predicted model, not a curated record. The transcript is spliced from 3 exons.
AUCAGCACUCUCUCUGUUUCUCUCUCUUCCUCUUUCUCUCCUCUCCUCUCUCGCCGGGGCGGAACUCACUGUGGGUUCACGCCCUCGGCCCACGCCCUCGGGAGAUGAGACACCUGGGUCUCAUCAAGGUGAUCAGCAUUUAAGCCAGGAGGUGACUGCUGUUCGUCGCUGGAUCGUUGUCUACCACGCAGCUUCCUGGAUUUUUCCCCCGUGUGAUUCCCGUGUGGCAGUGUCGGAGUGUGAGCCUGUGAUCGUGUGAGUGGAUAAUCUGAAGAACGCGUGCUUUCCCCUGGACCUCCCUGGAGACCCUUCUCCCCUCACUCAGCUGUAUAUAGCACCCCCCGCACAUUCUUGUAUAUACACCUGGUGAAUUGUAAAUAAACCCUUCUUGUGAGCAUCAGAACCGGAGUCCUGCGCUUGAGUCCUCCUCCAAACCGUAACAAUAACGAUCCAGCCAUCAUGGACUCAGCGGACUCAAAUCCCACCCAGCAACCUGUCCUCACCCCGGAGGCAAUUCUGGAACGCCACGAACACAUGCUUCGGCACAUAAAUCAACAACUGGCUGCACUCACUCAAGUCCUCGCUCAACAUCUACCAUCGGUAAGCCCACCCUCACCCCCUCCGUCUGUUUCUCCUCAGCUAUCGGCCCCGAAUCCAUCUGCAGCCGCUCCGCCUGUUUCCCCCGCACCGGCUUCCACUGAACCUCCAGAGCGAUCGUUACCAGCGCCGGAGCCUUUCUCGGAUAGAUGAGCACCUACGGGCGCGUCGGGGAACCGGAAACUACAUUUCCCAGAGGCCCCCGGGGCGCAUGGAGACGACGUCAGGUGGAGGCGCGCUUAGCGGCAGUCACGCAUCGGAUAGCAUGGAGGAAAGUGAACAGCCCAUGCAACUGGGCCGCUCCAGACUGUCGCCCGAGGAGCGGUAUCGUCGCAGGAGAGCCGGUGAGUGCUUUUAUUGUGGCCGCAAGGGCCAUAUUGCCAUGGAUUGCCCAGCUCGGCCAAAAGACAGCGCCCGCCAGUAGUGAGGAGUGUACGGGUGGGCGAGGUCACCUGUUCUCAGUCUCCUCCUCGUCUCAUGAUUGCAGCUAAGCUAACGGUUCGUCUCAAGACUCAUUCUCUCGACGCUCUGAUCGAUUCCGGGGCAGAACAGAAUUUUAUUGAUGCCUCGCUGGCGCUCAAAUUAGGUUUUAUCACGGAGCCUCUGUCUCAUUCACUCCAAGUCACAGCCCUUAGUGGCCAGCGUCUUCCAGACAUUACUCAUAUCACAGAACCAGUUUCCCUGACUCUUUCUGGCAAUCAUGUUGAAACCAUACAGUUGUACGUCUUUAAAGCCCCACUCACACCACUAGUCUUAGGCUAUCCCUGGCUAUGUCAACAUAACCCUGUGAUUGAUUGGAGGAAAGAAAGUAUUUCGGGGUGGGGGGAGGAGUGUCACAUGUCCUGUUUGAAAGCCGCCACCCCCGCCAUGAGCCUAUCACCCAAUAGAACUGUUGCAGAACCGCCUGAUCUGUCCUCCAUACCAUCUGUUUAUCAUGACCUAGCGCAAGUGUUUUGUAAAGAUAAGGCACGCUCCCUCCCCCCUCAACGGCCGUAUGAUUGUGGGAUUGACCUCCUCCCAGGCGCGCCACUCCCGACCAGUAGGUUGUACAGCC